ACAUAUUGCCCAUCUGUCAGUGAACUUUCAUGUUUACCUAUAACGCUCUAGGUAUCCUCCUGCUUCUAAUGUUGACAUUCCCAGAAGCCACUACCAAUGCUGGGACGUCAACAAAAGCACAUGGUUAGUUUAGGCAAUAAAAGCAUGUGGUUAGGUUAAGACAACAAAAGCACAUGGUUUAGGCAAUAAGAGCAUGUGGUUAGGUUAAGACAACAAAAGCACAUGGUUAGUUUAGGCAAUAAAAGCAUGUGGUUAGGUUAAGACAACAAAAGCACAUGGUUUAGGCAAUAAGAGCAUGUGGUUAGGUUAAGACAACAAAAGCACAUGGUUAGUUUAGGCAAUAAAAGCACAUGGUUAGGUUAAGACAACAAAAGCACAUGGUGAGGUUUAGGCAACAAAAGCACAUGGUUGGGUUUAGGCAAUAAAAGCAUGUGGAUAGGUUUAGGCAAUAAAAAGCACGUGGUGAGGUUAGGGCAAUAAAAGCAUGUGGUUGGGUUAAGACAACAAAAGCACAUGGUAAGGUUUAGGAAACAAAAGCACAUGGUUGGGUUUAGGCAAUAAAAGCAUGUGGUUAGUUUUAGGCAAAAAAAAGCAUGUGGUUAGUUUUAGGCAAAAAAAAGCAUGUGGUGAAGGUUAGGGCAGCAAAAGCAUGCAGUUAGGUUUGGGCAACAAAAGCACAUGGUUAGUUUAGGCAAAAAAAGCAUGUGGUUAGAUUAAGACAACAAAAGCACAUGGUAAGGUUUAGGCAAUAAAAGCAUGUGGUUAGGUUUAGGCAAUAAAAGCAUGUGGUUAGGUUUCGGCAAUAAAAGCGUGUGGUUAUGUUUAGACAACAAAAGCAUGUGGUUAGGUUUAGGCAAAAAAGCAUGUGGUGAGGGUUAGGGCAGCAAAAGCACAUGGUAAGGUUGAGGCAAUAAAAGCACAUGGUAAGGUUUAGGCAAAAAAAGCAUGUGGUUAGGUUAAGACAACAAAAGCACAUGGGAAGGUUUGGGCAAUAAAAGCACGUGGUUAGGUUUAGGCAAUAAAAGCAUGUGGUUAGGUUAAGACAACAAAAGCACAUGGGAAGGUUUAGGCAAUAAAAGCACGUGGUUAGGUUUAGGCAAUAAAAGCAUGUGGUUAGGUUUAGGCAGUAAAAACAUGUGGUUAGGUUAAGACAACAAAAGCACAUGGUUAGUUUAGGCAAUAAAAGCAUGUGGUGAGGUUGAGGCAGUAAAAACAUGUGGUUAGGUUAAGACAACAAAAGCACAUGGUUGGGUUUAGGCAAUAAAAGCAUGUGGUUAGGUUUAGGCAAAAAAAGCAUGUGGUGAGGGUUAGGGCAGCAAAAGCAUGUGGUUAGGUUAAGACAACAAAAGCACAUGGUGAGGUUUAGGCAAAAAAAGCAUGUGGUGAGGGUUGGGGCAGAAAAAGCAUGUGGUUAGGUUUGGAUAACAAAAGCACAUAGUUAGUUCAGGCAAAAAAAAGCACGUGGUUAGGUUAAGACAACAAAUGCAAUUGGUAACGUUUAGGCGAUAAAAGCACGUGGUUAGGUUUAGGCAAUAAAAGCAUGUGGUUAGGUUAAGAUAACAAAAGCACAUGGUAAGGUUUAGGCGAUAAAAGCACAUGGUUAGGUUUAGGUAAUAAAAGCAUGUGGUUAGGUUUAGGCAAAAAAAGCAUGUGGUGAGGGUUAUGGCAGCAAAAGCAUGCGUUUUGGUUUGGGCAACAAAAGCACAUGGUUAGUUUAGUCAAUAAAAGCAUGUAGUUAGCUUAAGACAACAAAGCACAUGGUAAGGUUUAGGCAAUAAAAGCACAUGGUUAGGUUUAGGUAAUAAAAGCAUGUGGUUACUUUAGGCAAAAAAAAGCAUGUGGUGAGGGUUAGGGCAGCAAAAGCAUGUGGUUAGGUUAAGACAACAAAAGCACAUGGUGAGGUUUAGGCAAAAAAAGCAUGUGGUGAGGGUUGGGGCAGAAAAAGCAUGUGGUUAGGUUUGGAUAACAAAAGCACAUAGUUAGUUCAGGCAAAAAAAAGCACGUGGUUAGGUUAAGACAACAAAUGCAAUUGGUAACGUUUAGGCGAUAAAAGCACGUGGUUAGGUUUAGGCAAUAAAAGCAUGUGGUUAGGUUAAGAUAACAAAAGCACAUGGUAAGGUUUAGGCGAUAAAAGCACAUGGUUAGGUUUAGGUAAUAAAAGCAUGUGGUUAGGUUUAGGCAAAAAAAGCAUGUGGUGAGGGUUAUGGCAGCAAAAGCAUGCGUUUUGGUUUGGGCAACAAAAGCACAUGGUUAGUUUAGUCAAUAAAAGCAUGUAGUUAGCUUAAGACAACAAAGGACAUGGCAAGGUUUAGGCAAUAAAAGCACAUGGUUAGGUUUAGGUAAUAAAAGCAUGUGGUUACUUUAGGCAAAAAAAGCAUGUGGUGAAGGUUAGGGCAGCAAAAGCAUGUAGUUAAGUUAGGACAACAAAAGCACAUGGUUUAGGCAAAAAAAAGCACGUGGUUAGGUUUAGGCAAUAAAAGUAUGUGGUGAGGUUAGGGCAAUAAAAGCAUGUGGUUAGGUUCAGACAACAACAGCACAUGGUUAGUUUAGGCAACAACAGCACAUGGUUGGGUUUAGGUAAUAAAAGCAUGUGGUUAGGUUUAGGCUAAAAAGCAUGUGGUGAGGGUUAGGGCAGCAAAAGCAUGUGUUUAGGUUUGGGCACCAAAAGCACAUGGUUAGUUUAGGCAAUAAAAGCAUGUGGUUAGGUUAAGACAACAAAAGCACAUGGUAAGGUUUAGUUAAUAAAAGGACAUGGUUAGGUUCAGGUGAUAAAAGCAUGUGGUUAGGUUUAGGAAAAAAAAGCAUGUGGUGAGGGUUAUAGCAGCAAAAGCAUGUGUUUUGGUUUGGGCAACAAAAGCACAUGGUUAGUUAAGUCAAUAAAAGCAUGUGCUUAGGUUAAGACAACAAAAGCACAUGGUAAGGUUUAGGCAAUAAAAGCAUGUGGUUAGUUUUAGGCAAUAAAAGCAUGUGGUGAGGUUAGGGCAAGAAAAGCAUGUGGUUAGGUUAAGACAACAAAAGCACAUGCUAAGGUUUAGGCAAUAAAAGCAUGUGGUUAGUUUUAGGCAAUAAAAGCAUGUGGUGAGGUUAGGGCAAUAAAAACAUGUGGUUAGGUUAAGACAACCAAAGCACAUGGUAAGGUUUAGGCAAUACAAGCAUGUGGUUAGUUUUAGGCAAUAAAAGCAUGUGGUGAGGUUAAGACAACAAAAGCACAUGGUUGGGUUUAGGCAAUAAAAGCAUGUGGUGAGGUUAGGGCAAUAAAAGCAUGUGGUUAGGUUAAGACAACAAAAGCACAUGGUUGGGUUUAGGCAAUAAAAGCAUGUGGUGAGGUUAGGGCAAUAAAAGCAUGUGGUUAGGUUAAGACAACAAAAGCACAUGGUUGGGUUUAGGCAAUAAAAGCAUGUGGUGAGGUUAGGGCAAUAAAAGCAUGUGGUUAGGUUCCGUCAAAAAAAGUAUGUGGUUAGGGUUAGGGCAGAAAAGCAUGUGGUUAGGUUUUGGCAACAAAAGCACAUGGUUAGUUUAGGCAAUAAAAGCAUGUAGUUAGGUUUGGGCAAAUGCCAAUGGUUGAUUUAGGCAAUAAAAACAUGUGGUUAGAUUUGGGCAAUGAAAACACAUGGUUACUUUAGGUAAUAAAAGCAUGUGGUUAGGUUAAGACAACAAAAGCACAUGGUUAAUUUAGGCAACAAAAGCACAUGGUUGGGUUUAGGCAAUAAAAGCAUGUGGUUAGGUUUAGGCAAAAAAAAGUAUGUGGUGAGGUUAGGGCAAUAAAAGCAUGUGGUUAGUUUAGGUAGUAAAAGCAUGUGGUUAGGUUAAGACAACAAAAGCACAUGGUAAGGUUUAGGCAAUACAAGCAUGUGGUUAGUUUUAAGCAAUAAAAGCAUGUGGUGAGGUUAGGCAAUAAAAGCAUGUGGUUAGGUUAAGACAACAAAAGCACAUGGUUGGGUUUAGGCAAUAAAAGCAUGUGGUGAGGUUAGGGCAAUAAAAGCAUGUGGUUAGGUUAAGACAACAAAAACACAUGGCUGGGUUUAGGCAAUAAAAGCAUGUGGUUAGGUUCCGUCAAAAAAAGUAUGUGGUGAGGGUUAGGGCAGAAAAGCAUGUGGUUAGGUUUUGGCAACAAAAGCACAUGGUUAGUUUAGGCAAUAAAAGCAUGUAGUUAGGUUUGGGCAACAAAAGCAAAUGGUUAAUUUAGGCAAUAAAAACAUGUGGUUAGGUUUGGGCAAUGAAAACACAUGGUUACUUUAGGUAAUAAAAGCAUGUGGUUAGGUUAAGACAACAAAAGCACAUGGUUAAUUUAGGCAACAAAAGCACAUGGUUGGGUUUAGGCAAUAAAAGCAUGUGGUUAGGUUUAGGCAAAAAAAAGUAUGUGGUGAGGUUAGGGCAAUAAAAGCAUGUGGUUAGUUUAGGCAGUAAAAGCAUGUGGUUAGGUUAAGACAACAAAAGCACAUGGGUGGGUUUAGGCAAUAAAAGCAUAUGGUUGGGUUUAGGCAAAAAAGCAUGUAGUGAGGUUAGGGCAACAAAAGCACAUGGUUGGGUUUUGGCAUCAAAAGUACAUUCUUAGGUUUCCACAACAAAAGCACGUGCUUAGGUUUAGAAAAAAUAUCAUGGUUUGGCCUUACAUUCACACGGGGUGAACACCAGGCUUCCCGGGGUUUGCUGGACGCAUCCACCAUCUGUUUCUAUUAGUGGCAUAAGGUAGUUACAAUGGGCCCCAGUGCACGCUAUUAUGAGGGGCCCUAUUAUGCCCUAGUUACAAGUUAUGAAAUACACACACAGACACACACACACACACACACACACACACACACACACACACACAGAGAGUUUUAGGGUGUAUAUAUAUUUUAGCAACAGUGUGUCUUACUGCCGCUUUAACGUUACAUCCACUUGCACAUACUUGAUGUUGGACACAUUAACAUACAUAUUAACAUACAUAUACAUAUACACACAGUAAUCAUCAUUACAUAUCUGUACAAGACAAAUCUACAAAAGAAAAUAGGAAAUUAUUAGUUUAACUUGAUAGUUUUUUAUUGGUAAAUUAUAGUUUCUUAAAUAGUUUAUGGAGAAUAAGUUUAUAAUUUGUUAUAGAUUGACACUGUUUUACAAAACCAGAAAACCAUGAAGGAGAUGGAUUUGCCUUAUUUAGGGCAUGUAUGGAAAAUAGCACCAUUUUUGUUCAAAUGUGAGUUCUCUGAACACGGGCGUAUUUCCAGGUGGCAGUCGGGCCCCUCCACCCCAAGUGCAACUGCACUGCCUGCACUGUCUAUA
Molecule: long non-coding RNA, 5262 nt
Organism: Epinephelus fuscoguttatus (brown-marbled grouper)
Lineage: Eukaryota; Metazoa; Chordata; Actinopteri; Perciformes; Serranidae
Exons: 3
Source: RefSeq, a predicted model, not a curated record